RNAcentral lists this ribosomal RNA (426 nucleotides) under uncultured prokaryote. RNAcentral's name for it is "bacterial SSU rRNA". It matches the Rfam family "Bacterial small subunit ribosomal RNA", at positions 355 to 796 of the family's 1533-position model. The record is from RNAcentral.
UGGGGAAUUUUCCGCAAUGGGGGCAACCCUGACGGAGCAACGCCGCGUGCGGGAGGAAGGCCUUUGGGUUGUAAACCGCUUUUCUCAGGGAAGAAGCUCUGACGGUACCUGAGGAAUCAGCCUCGGCUAACUCCGUGCCAGCAGCCGCGGUAAUACGGAGGGAGCUAGCGUUGUUCGGAAUUACUGGGCGUAAAGCGCGCGUAGGCGGCGUAUCAAGUCAGGGGUGAAAUCCCGGGGCUCAACCCCGGAACUGCCCUUGAAACUAGUAUGCUAGAAUCCUGGAGAGGCGAGUGGAAUUCCGAGUGUAGAGGUGAAAUUCGUAGAUAUUCGGAAGAACACCAGUGGCGAAGGCGACUCGCUGGACAGGUAUUGACGCUGAGGUGCGAAAGCGUGGGGAGCAAACAGGAUUAGAUACCCGCGUAGUCC